CAGCGGGCGUGCACGCUUCUUCGUUGAGAGUAUUGUCACGUGACAUCUGAGAUCCAACGGCUCACACUCGUCGUCUUCUUCUUCUUUCUUCUUUCACCCAAGUCCAAGUGUACUCUUACACACACCCUCUCUCACACACUCCACCCCUCCCUCUCUCUCACACACACGCACAAUAUAACCGUCUGCCUUACUUUUUUUCCCCCUCUUCGUAUACCUAUUGCUAGGGUUUCCUCGCGAUUAAGGAGAUUCGCGAUCGGGCCUCUGCCGCCUUCUUUUCCGUCUCAUCCAACAAAUUCAGGUCUGUUUUUGUUAUCCAAUCUCGCUCUUCAGCUUACGGAGCAUUUUUUUUAUCGUCUUCGAUUUGUGAUUUUGUUCAAUUCUGUUAAUGCUUUUUCUCAACUUCUUUUUCUCUCUCUUUUUUUUUUUUGGUUUAAUUCGGGCCGUGCUUCGUAAUAUGGGAAUUUGUGUUUCUCUAGGUGUUUGAUAGGGUCGGGAAGGAUCGAGUGUUAAGCUAGGCUCUUUGUCGUGUCUAAUUGUGCCGUAUUCAGUGUUUUAAGUUGGUGUGGUUAUUGUUUCCGCUGGCCUCCACACACACACACCACAGGUUGAGGGUUUUUCGUUUCUCGGAUUGAUUGGGUAUUAUUUUCUUAAUCUAGGGCUUUUGAAUUGAAGUCGAGCUGUAUCUGGAAUCUGGGGUUUUUUGUUCGAGGUAAUGUUACUGUUGAAUGGCGAUUGAAAAGAAUAGCUUUAAGGUAGCUCGUUUUGACCUGGAGUUUCAAUCCCCUCACAGU
This 791-nucleotide long non-coding RNA is filed under the name Salvia miltiorrhiza (redroot sage). Its description in RNAcentral is "long non-coding RNA (SMIL_LNC010649)". Lineage: Eukaryota; Viridiplantae; Streptophyta; Magnoliopsida; Lamiales; Lamiaceae. The record is from RNAcentral.